CCUACGGGAGGCAGCAGUGGGGAAUCUUGCGCAAUGGGCGAAAGCCUGACGCAGCAACGCCGCGUGCGGGAAGAAGGCUUUCGGGCUGUAAACCGCUUUCAGCAGGAACGAAAAUGACGGUACCUGCAGAAGAAGGAGCGGCCAACUAUGUGCCAGCAGCCGCGGUGAUACAUAGGCUUCAAGCGUUGUCCGGAUUUAUUGGGCGUAAAGAGUUCGUAGGCGGUCGAGUAAGUCGGGUGUGAAAAUUCUGGGCUCAACCCAGAGACGCCACCCGAUACUGCUUAACUUGAGUUCGAUAGGGGAGUGGGGAAUUCCUAGUGUAGCGGUGAAAUGCGCAGAUAUUAGGAGGAACACCGGUGGCGAAGGCGCCACUCUGGAUCGAUACUGACGCUGAGGAACGAAAGCAUGGGUAGCAAACAGGAUUAGAUACCCUGGUAGUCCAUGCCGUAAACGGUGGGCACUAGGUGUGGGAUUCUAUUAACGAAUUCCGCGCCGUCGCUAACGCAUUAAGUGCCCCGCCUGGGGAGUACGGUCGCAAGCUAAAACUUAAAGGAAUUGACGGCUGAGAGNGCGAGCGACGACGAGGAGAG
This 590-nucleotide ribosomal RNA is filed under the name uncultured bacterium. RNAcentral describes it as "bacterial SSU rRNA". It matches the Rfam family "Bacterial small subunit ribosomal RNA", at positions 338 to 944 of the family's 1533-position model. The record is from RNAcentral.